RNAcentral lists this ribosomal RNA (616 nucleotides) under uncultured bacterium. RNAcentral's name for it is "bacterial SSU rRNA". It matches the Rfam family "Bacterial small subunit ribosomal RNA", at positions 79 to 671 of the family's 1533-position model. The record is from RNAcentral.
CUCUUUAUGAAAUCCAGUGGCAAACGGGUGAGUAACACGUAAACAACCUGCCUUCAGGAUGGGGACAACAGACGGAAACGACUGCUAAUACCGAAUACGAUUCUUGAGUCGCAUGACACAAGAAAGAAAGGGUGGCCUCUACUUGUAAGCUAUCGCCUGAAGAGGGGUUUGCGUCCGAUUAGGUAGUUGGUGAGGUAACGGCCUACCAAGCCGACGAUCGGUAGCCGGUCUGAGAGGAUGAACGGCCACAUUGGAACUGAGACACGGUCCAGACUCCUACGGGAGGCAGCAGUGGGGAAUCUUCCGCAAUGGGCGAAAGCCUGACGGAGCAACGCCGCGUGAGUGAAGACGGCCUUCGGGUUGUAAAGCUCUGUGAUUCGGGACGAAAGAUAAGUAGACGAAUAAUCUGCAUAAGUGACGGUACCGAAAAAGCAAGCCACGGCUAACUACGUGCCAGCAGCCGCGGUAAUACGUAGGUGGCAAGCGUUGUCCGGAAUUAUUGGGCGUAAAGCGCGCGCAGGCGGCUACUUAAGUCCAUCUUAAAAGUGCGGGGCUUAACCCCGUGAUGGGAUGGAAACUGAGAAGCUGGAGUGUCGGAGAAGAANNUGGAAUUCCU